This 404-nucleotide ribosomal RNA is filed under the name uncultured bacterium. Its description in RNAcentral is "partial 16S ribosomal RNA". It matches the Rfam family "Bacterial small subunit ribosomal RNA", at positions 28 to 526 of the family's 1533-position model. The record is from RNAcentral.
GACGAACGCUGGCGGCGUGCUUAACACAUGCAAGUCGGGCGGAGCGGCGAACGGGUGAGUAACGCGUGAGUAACUGCCCCCCUCUCUGGGAUAACAGUUGGAAACGGCUGCUAAUACCGGAUAGUGGGGGAUGACUCGCGUCCGAUCAGCUUGUUGGUGGGGUAGUGGCCUACCAAGGCGACGACGGGUAGCCGGCCUGAGAGGGCGACCGGCCACAUUGGGCUGAGAUACGGCACAAACUCCUACGGGAGACAGCAGUGGGGAAUAUUGCCCAAUCGGGGCAAGUCUGAUGCAGCAAGGCGCGUGCGGGAUGGUGGCCUUCGGGUUGUAAACCGCUUUCAGCCAUGACGCGGUAGUGGCAGAAGAAGCACCGGCUAACUACGUGCCAGCAGCCGCGGUAAUAC